This 211-nucleotide long non-coding RNA is filed under the name Oryza brachyantha (malo sina). Its description in RNAcentral is "long non-coding RNA (OBRA_LNC001538)". The record is from RNAcentral. Lineage: Eukaryota; Viridiplantae; Streptophyta; Magnoliopsida; Poales; Poaceae.
GGUGGAGGUGGCGGUGGCGAUGCCGAGUGCCGAGCCGCGUCUAGGGCGCCGGUCCGGGGCUCGAGCUAGCUGCUGCGCGGCCCCGAAUGGUGGUGCGCCGCGACGGUUUGGCGGAUGGAUGGGUGGGUGUGCGCCGAGUUGAUUUGGACUUCGGAAACAGGCUUCUUCGUGGGGAAGAAACGAGUCUGUUCGAGCGCGUGGAGGAUGAGAG